RNAcentral lists this ribosomal RNA (685 nucleotides) under Pantoea sp. L31. RNAcentral describes it as "bacterial SSU rRNA". It matches the Rfam family "Bacterial small subunit ribosomal RNA", at positions 79 to 760 of the family's 1533-position model. Lineage: Bacteria; Pseudomonadati; Pseudomonadota; Gammaproteobacteria; Enterobacterales; Erwiniaceae. The record is from RNAcentral.
GCUCCUUGGGUGACGAGUGGCGGACGGGUGAGUAAUGUCUGGGAAACUGCCUGAUGGAGGGGGAUAACUACUGGAAACGGUAGCUAAUACCGCAUAACGUCGCAAGACCAAAGAGGGGGACCUUCGGGCCUCUUGCCAUCAGAUGUGCCCAGAUGGGAUUAGCUAGUAGGUGGGGUAACGGCUCACCUAGGCGACGAUCCCUAGCUGGUCUGAGAGGAUGACCAGCCACACUGGAACUGAGACACGGUCCAGACUCCUACGGGAGGCAGCAGUGGGGAAUAUUGCACAAUGGGCGCAAGCCUGAUGCAGCCAUGCCGCGUGUAUGAAGAAGGCCUUCGGGUUGUAAAGUACUUUCAGCGGGGAGGAAGGUGUUGAGGUUAAUAACCUCAGCAAUUGACGUUACCCGCAGAAGAAGCACCGGCUAACUCCGUGCCAGCAGCCGCGGUAAUACGGAGGGUGCAAGCGUUAAUCGGAAUUACUGGGCGUAAAGCGCACGCAGGCGGUCUGUCAAGUCGGAUGUGAAAUCCCCGGGCUCAACCUGGGAACUGCAUUCGAAACUGGCAGGCUUGAGUCUUGUAGAGGGGGGUAGAAUUCCAGGUGUAGCGGUGAAAUGCGUAGAGAUCUGGAGGAAUACCGGUGGCGAAGGCGGCCCCCUGGACAAAGACUGACGCUCAGGUGCGAAAGC